This 1200-nucleotide long non-coding RNA is filed under the name Lathyrus oleraceus (garden pea). Its description in RNAcentral is "Pisum sativum (pea) long non-coding RNA (PSAT_LNC014944)". Lineage: Eukaryota; Viridiplantae; Streptophyta; Magnoliopsida; Fabales; Fabaceae. The record is from RNAcentral.
ACCUUCAAAACCCCCAUCAAAACCCACAUGCAACCACCAUAAACUCAUCCGCCGCCGUUCGCAUCUCCACUCUCAACCCUAAAUCACUUCACCAUCAAACUCUUCUUCCUACCGCCGCUCCCCUUCGCCCACCACCGUCGCUGCCUUCAUCACCCCCUUUACGAAACCCUCGCGACACCACACCAUACUACGCUUCUCAAACCUUCUUCGCCAAACCCAGCCUUCACCUCUCAACUCAAUAACCCUCUAUUUCCGCCGCUACCGUAUCAAAAUCCACAUUUUCGAACCAAACUCUGUUUUUCCGCUUCCAAAUAUGUGAAGCUUGUGCUGCUUCAUUUGUCUGUUUUUUAUGCAGGUUAUGUGCUUGUUUCAAUUGGAAUUGGAUUUUGGUUGAUUGUGGUAUCGAAGGGUUCCGUUCGGUUCUUGGUUAAAACGCAGAUUGACGACACGAACCGGCAACUAUACCGACGAAGUUUUCGGUUCAGAUCAGCACUGGAACGGUUGAGCACAAAGUCGAACUCCAAAUACGAUUCGGAGUCAUUAGUUCCUGAGAAAGCCCGAGUCGACGCCGCAGAAACGGUUGGAUUUUCCUUUUUAAAUUUCAUCUCUUGAUUCGGUUUAAUGUUUAGGUUUACUCUGCUGUAUUUUUGAUAUGGUCAUGUUGGAUAUGUUUUGUUUUCAUUUGAUUAUGCUGAUUGCCGUUCCGAUUCUGGGAUGAAUAUGGGUUGACAUUCUAUAAUUUUAGCCACUUGCUGUUUUGAUAUUCUGGAUUAAAGAUAGGAUUAAAUCGCGUAGUUUUGCUUAAAGAAUUAAUAUGUUCAGUAACUGCCAUGGUUGUUAUAGUUAGUGAAGGAAGCCCAUCCACUGUGACAUUAUUUUUCAAAACUUCUAAUACUGUAUUUACUAAUUGGUUUUGAUUCUAGUUAGUUAAUACAAUAUGUGAAGGAAAUAUAUCCACGUUGACAUUAUUUUGUUUUUAAUUAUCAUUUUAAAUUUAUAAUACUGUACUUACUAAUUGGUAUUAAUACUGUACUUACUAAUUGGUAUCGGAUUUAGUUAGUUAGAACAAUGAAAAUUUAGUUUAUGCUAAACAUGGUACUGUAGUUAGUGGCUUGUCAAAUAUUAUAAUGUAGGUAGAUUUCAAUUUAAUUAAGUUGUACUCAUACUGGAUUUUGAUACCGUAAUGUUGAUACAAUGCCG